Coprinopsis sp. MPI-PUGE-AT-0042 is the source of this 83-nucleotide non-coding RNA. Lineage: Eukaryota; Fungi; Basidiomycota; Agaricomycetes; Agaricales; Psathyrellaceae. The record is from the annotation of a GenBank genome assembly.
UCGGAUAUGGUGUAACGGCUAACAUUGCCGCCUCUCAUCACUUGCGUGCGCGGCAGCUCGGGGUUCGAUUCCCCGUAUCCGAA